UGAGAGGCAAGAAGCAGCGGGUAGCACUUUUCUCGGUAUCAAAGAGACGUGAAACUAGGAACUUCCAGUUUCCCAAGACGCAACAUUGAAUUCAAUCAGAGGUAAAGAUUCUGGACUAUUGGAUUAAAUGAGGAGGCAGGAGCUACUAUCUCUUGCAGUGAAAUUAUGCCAUUCAUUAGAAGGUGAUACUGUCAUCAAUGUGAGAGGCCCAGGACUCUGCAGGGCCUGAAGAAAUCCUGGGCAAUGAGUCUGAGGGAAGUCUCUCAGAGCAGCUACUCUGAGAGAGUAAAGCCGCAGCCUUUGUGGGGUAUGAAAGCAGCGUUCUCAUGGAUAAGGCUUAUUUGAGACGAAGUGGAGGCCUUGUUUUGUCCACUUACCGCAAUGUCCACUGUCCCCAACUGCAGCAUGCCAACAGCAAAUGUGUUUAGUGGAUAUGUGCUUUGUAGCUAACAAGAAACAGUAACAUUUAUUUUUCCAUGCCUAGUUGCUUAACAAACGAUAUUCUAAAAGGGCACCACGUUUUAUGUGUGUUUACAUGAAAACAAAUCAAAUCAUGAACUGGUGGUCAGGGAGUUCUGGAAACAAUAAACAAGUUGACCAUGCAACUGACAGCUCCCCUCUGAAAUGCAGACACAGCUAAGUCCAGCAUGACUCGCUGAAGGCACAUGCAAAGAACAGGCGGGGCAGUUUGGUG
This 694-nucleotide long non-coding RNA is filed under the name Homo sapiens (human). RNAcentral's name for it is "HSALNT0108410". The record is from RNAcentral. Lineage: Eukaryota; Metazoa; Chordata; Mammalia; Primates; Hominidae.